This 408-nucleotide ribosomal RNA is filed under the name uncultured bacterium. Its description in RNAcentral is "partial 16S ribosomal RNA". It matches the Rfam family "Bacterial small subunit ribosomal RNA", at positions 28 to 526 of the family's 1533-position model. The record is from RNAcentral.
GACGAACGCUGGCGGCGUGCUUAACACAUGCAAGUCGAACGAAGUGGCGCACGGGUGAGUAACGCGUAAUACACCUGCCCUUCAGAGGGGGCCAACAGUUGGAAACGACUGCAAAUACCCCAUACAGAAGGAGGUGAUUGCGUCUGAUUAGCGAGUUGGAGGGGUAACGGCAGCCAAAGGCGAUGAUCAGUAGCCGGGCUGAGAGGAUGAACGGCCACAUUGGGACUGAGACACGGCCCAGACUCCUACGGGAGGCAGCAGUGGGGAAUCUUCCGCAAUGGACGAAAGGCUGACGGAGCAACGCCGCGUGAGUGAUGACGGCCUUCGGGUUGUAAAGCUCUGUUAAUCGGGACGCGGUACCGGAAUAGAAAGCCACGGCUAACUACGUGCCAGCAGCCGCGGUAAUUC